Molecule: long non-coding RNA, 1455 nt
Organism: Dermacentor silvarum
Lineage: Eukaryota; Metazoa; Arthropoda; Arachnida; Ixodida; Ixodidae
Exons: 3
Source: RefSeq, a predicted model, not a curated record
GCCGGUUCACAUGCUCCAAAAGGUGCACCACGUGUUCCCAGUUCUGCAUAGACAUGUGAGAACUGACACAGCUGAAGCUGAACAAGAGGUCACUGCCUGCAAGUGCCCAUUAAGUCUACUGUGGUUAGAAACAGCACUGACCUGCAUGAGUAGCACGUCGGCCUGGUCCACCACAACCAGCUCGAUGGAAGAGAGGAAGUCAAAGUCGCGGUCCUUCUCUCCUUCCGCACCCACGACGGUCCUCAAGCCCAAGGGCGAGGCCAGCAGGAUGUCAGAGGCAUAAAAGUCUCGGUACAACCGCAGGCUCUUGCCCGACACACUCAAGCCCAACCGGAACGCAUCAUCAGUGUUGCCCACAAAAGUCUGUUCGUAGUCCUCGGGGCGUUCCAGCCAACGCUUCUUCUCUUCCUCGCAGCCAAACUCCUUCAGGAACCUUAGAAGAUGGAUAAAAUGAACGAGGUUGGGCAGCAGCUGGGCAAGCAGCUUGACAGUGCGCAGAGCCGACUCCCGGAAAGGCAGCAGAAAGAGCACUUGUGGCCGUGUCAGCCCUUGGUCUCGCAGCUCCGUGUUGGCACCUCGACGCAGUCGUGCAUUGUGGUGAAGGACACGAGACCGGCUCUAUAGGAGGGCAAAACAAUAAAACAAACCAGUGGUAGUUUCGACAUGUUGGUAAUUCACAAGAACGUUAAAAAGCAUGAACUGGACAUGGACGAAAAAGGCAUGUACACACAUACCACAGGAGUUACUUCCAACAAUUUAUUCUUGCAAUCCUGUUGCAAAUUUACACACAACCAACAUAAACGUAACCUGAGCAAAUCAGUGUGCAGAACUGAAAAAAUACAUAAAGGCUAGACAACAUAUUACUUCUAAGUAAUCCAUGUUGGCACACCCAGAAAAUCAAAGUUCUUUUGCUGUUAGCACGAUAGAUGGCAUGCCUACACACAUUUCACCCAGCUAUUCUCUCUCUUCUGCUUUGGUAAUCUCUCUUGUAAGCUCAUUCUUGCUUUGGUCAAGAAUUCUGCAAGUGUCAAACAACGGGUGACAGCCACAUGUCUUACAGUGCAUUGCAAGAAAGCCACCAGCAAUGUUUCUUACACUGUAAGAGCGCUCUCGCAACCGAUCGUUCAGGCUUUCAAAAGUAAGGGCUGAGGGAAACAAGCUUUGCAACCGUCUGAAGUCAUGGAAAUUAGUGAAGGAUACUCAGACGAGUAAGCAUGAUUAUUUAGAAGUUUUUUUUCACUGUCAAAACCCACAAAGUAGAUAUUAGGCUGAUUAUCUCUGAACAUGAGACUUGGCAAAAGCCAGUCAGGUUGUUCUUACAAGCCAAGCUUGAUGUUUUACCACCUUGUGACCCAUUCCUUGUUAAGAAAUUAGAAGAAAUUAUUGAUUUUAUGAAACUUAACCAUGACAAAUACCUACAGGCAUUUUAUAUUGAUAUUAAAUAUUUGUUUUAUA